This 101-nucleotide transfer RNA is filed under the name Treponema sp. RNAcentral's name for it is "tRNA-OTHER". Lineage: Bacteria; Pseudomonadati; Spirochaetota; Spirochaetia; Treponematales; Treponemataceae. The record is from RNAcentral.
GGAACCGAGCAGAAGUGGUCUGACCAAACGUUCAAACGCCGAGAGUUUCCUCUCCACGGCGCGAGACAUCGGCAACGCGGGUUCGACUCCCGCCGGUUUCA